Molecule: ribosomal RNA, 253 nt
Filed under: uncultured bacterium
Lineage: Bacteria
Description: partial 16S ribosomal RNA
Rfam family: Bacterial small subunit ribosomal RNA
Source: RNAcentral
UACGUAGGGUGCAAGCGUUGUCCGGAAUCAUUGGGCGUAAAGCGCGUGUAGGCGGCUCGGUCAGUCUGAUGUGAAAUCUUGGGGCUCAACCCUAAGCGGUCAUUGGAUACUGCCGAGCUAGAGUCCGGAAGAGGAGAGUGGAAUUCCCGGUGUAGCGGUGAAAUGCGCAGAUAUCGGGAGGAACACCAAUUGCGAAGGCAGCUCGCUGGGACGUUACUGACGCUGAGGCGCGAAAGCGUGGGGAGCAAACAGG